RNAcentral lists this long non-coding RNA (1930 nucleotides) under Canis lupus familiaris (dog). Its description in RNAcentral is "lncRNA (ENSCAFG00000058912.1, ENSCAFG00845000262.1)". Lineage: Eukaryota; Metazoa; Chordata; Mammalia; Carnivora; Canidae. The record is from RNAcentral.
AAUCUUCUCGCUUCCAGCCUGGUUCUCUCACCCGCCUGUAGUUGUGUAAGUUUCACGAAGCAACAGCUUGGGCUGCAGGAAAGCGCAGGGUGAUGGGGAGAGGAAGGACGCGCACAGGUCGGCGUCGUCUCCAAAGACACCCCACACCCCCCGCGUCGCCACAUGCAUCCCCCCCCCCCCGCUAAAAAAAAUCCCAAAGGUUGGUUCUGUUUCGCUUUUGAGUGGCGCCCGUAUUCAUUUAGGGCGAUCUUGCUUUUGAAAAGAAAAAAAAAAGACCAAUAAAAGAUGUCUGAAGUCUAGAGUUGACUGGCCCUACACCACGCUUCUAGGGUUGAGCUGGGAGGUUGUCCUACCCUGUGAACUUUCGCGAACGCGGCGAGCAUUGGGGGACGCUCUCGGCCGCGGCACCGAGGCGCUUGGCACCGGAAAGUUUGCAGCCUGCAGCCGGGCUUCGGGGCUUCGGGGCUUCGGGGGCGAGCGGGGGAAGGGGCGAAGGGAAACGGGGGCAGGGGGACGGGAAGGGGACGCGGGCGUGCGGAGGGGCGGCUGUAGCGAAUGAAGUUUCUUGCAGAAUUUGCAGGACCGGCCAGAGUUGGGGAAGUUGCAGAGCUGCCGCUGAAGGUACAUUUCGGUGACGCAAGAGAAAGAACUCGAACACAGUCCUCGGUGGGGCAGACCCAAGGAAGCAAGCCCGCAGACUGCAGAGGUGUCGCGCCAGUCGUGCUGAGCUUUGUACGGGGGAAGGUGCAGCAGGCUGAGCCUGGCGCGGUGUUGGACACAGUGGACCGGCGCGGACGCAGGACUCGGAGCUGCCCCAGCCGGACCUGCCCGCCGUCGGCUCGGGUCGCGCCGGCUGUGCAGAGUGCAGUGGGCCGGGUGAGGUCGCCGGCCCAACACCGCCCUCCGCGCCUGCUGCGCUGGGAUUUCGUUGAGAAAAUCGAGCAGACGCGGAGGAAGGGGUCAGGAAGGAUAUGAAACGGGAACCCUUGCGAAUUCCGGCCAGCGCUAGAAUGGUGCAGAUCAGUGCAUCUGUGGCGCAUCCUUCUAAAAAUCGACUGGGGUAAACAAGAUCAAUACAUUUUUUUAAAAGGUCUAAAGCAAAAGGCGCAUUACCUCCUCACUCACCUGUUCUGCUUUCCUUGCCUCCCUCCACUGAGAUCUGAAACUUUUCCUUAAUUGUUUUUAUUCACUGCAGCAAGUUUUAAUGAAAGCAUAUGCAUCUGAAGCUUGAGUCACAACCAUAGAUUUAUUGUGAGGUGACAGCAUGUCAACAGCAUAUUUUCACAGAUGAGGGACAGGAUUAUCCUCCAGUCGUGCCUAGAUUAAGGGCAACCACAGAAAUGGAAAUGCGUGCCCGAGGUGCGGACACCGGCUCCUGCAUGUGAGACACAUACACUCACUGUCACAUGACCACUGCCUAUUAAAAUUUGUAAUACCUAAAUACUAUUGCAAAAACAAAAGUUGCUUUUCUUCUCUGUAAUUAAAUCUAAUUUGUUAAUUGUCUUCCUCUUGCAAUGUUGUUUUCAUCUUAUGAGGCGACAUGUUAUUAUUUUGUCUGCUUAAUAAUAUUAUUUACAAAUUAAUACUGUAGAUUACAUUAGCGGAACAUAUAAUUAGAUGUUUGAUUUAAUUUGUAUCAUUUAUUCAGAUAAAACAGAAAGCCUAUCUGCAGGAUGGAUUUGACAAGGGGAGUUGAAGAGUGGGUUCUGUUCUAAUACCUCAGCUUAGUGAAGCUACCUGGCUCUCCAUCCACAAAGCACACUUUUACCUGAGGUGCAUUUGGUACUUUAUCAUGUGCUUAUUUACCUAGCCAUUUAAUACAGAAAAAGUAUUCAAGUAUUACAGCUCUAUUUUCUGUCUCCUUUCAGGCUUUCCCCCUCAAAUCAAAGUUCUUGCCACUGGCUUUCACUCCCUUCUCUCUGGUUCCUCC